CCUACGGGCGGCACCAGUGGGGAAUCUUCCGCAAUGGGCGAAAGCCUGACGGAGCAAUGCCGCGUGAGUGAAGAAGGCCUUCGGGUUGUAAAAUUCUGUCCUUAUGGAAGAAAGUGAUAUAGUUUAAGAGAUUAUAUUGCUGACGGUACAUUUGGAGGAAGCCCCGGCUAACUACGUGCCAGCAGCCGCGGUAACACGUAGGGGGCGAGCGUUGUCCGGAAUUACUGGGCGUAAAGCGCGCGCAGGCGGGCAUUUAAGUCAGAUGUGAAAGCUCUGGGCUCAACCGAGAGAUUGCAUCUGAAACUGGAUGCCUUGAGUAUAGGAGAGGAGAGUGGAAUUCCUAGUGUAGCGGUGAAAUGCGUAGAUAUUAGGAGGAACACCAGUGGCGAAGGCGACUCUCUGGCCUAUUACUGACGCUGAGGCGCGAAAGCGUGGGUAGCAAACAGGAUUAGAUACCCUAGUAGUC
This 466-nucleotide ribosomal RNA is filed under the name uncultured bacterium. Its description in RNAcentral is "bacterial SSU rRNA". It matches the Rfam family "Bacterial small subunit ribosomal RNA", at positions 338 to 795 of the family's 1533-position model. The record is from RNAcentral.